This 525-nucleotide ribosomal RNA is filed under the name Triticum aestivum (bread wheat). Its description in RNAcentral is "partial small subunit ribosomal RNA". The record is from RNAcentral. Lineage: Eukaryota; Viridiplantae; Streptophyta; Magnoliopsida; Poales; Poaceae.
AUGUGUGCAGGCAUAGAGGGGGUCUUUCCGUUGGAAGUGCACAGGCACUGUAGGUGGCACAUUAUAAAGAAGGCUAAGGAGACGCUAGGACCGUUCUUUGCUGACCAUCCAAAGCUCCACAAGGCAUUCGAGCUGUGCGUGGACCACAGCUUGACGGUAGAGGAGUUUGAAAGGAGCUGGAUGGCCAUGAUUGAAACAUAUCAAGUCCAAGACAAUGAGACGCUUGCUAGCCUGUGGGAGAAGUGAAUGUACUGGAUGCCGGUCUACUUCAUGCAGUGCUUCUUCCCCUUUCUGCAGACUACGCAGCACAGCGAGGGGUUCAAUGCUGUUUUGAAGCGGUACGUGAGCCCUGACAACUCAUUGCUACAGUUUGCCAAGCAAUACACAGCUUUGCAACAAAAAAUUCUAGGAUCUGAGCUACAGCAAGAAGCGACCACCGUGCUAAACCAGCCAAAAUUGCUAACGUAUUUGCCGAUGGAGAGGCAAAUGAGCAAGAUAUACACCAACAAGAUCUUUAACAAGUAA